AUUGAACGCUAGCGGCAGGCCUAACACAUGCAAGUCGAGCGGAUGAAGGGAGCUUGCUCCUGGAUUCAGCGGCGGACGGGUGAGUAAUGCCUAGGAAUCUGCCUGGUAGUGGGGGAUAACGUCCGGAAGCGGGCGCUAAUACCGCAUACGUCCUGAGGGAGAAAGUGGGGGAUCUUCGGACCUCACGCUAUCAGAUGAGCCUAGGUCGGAUUAGCUAGUUGGUGGGGUAAAGGCCUACCAAGGCGACGAUCCGUAACUGGUCUGAGAGGAUGAUCAGUCACACUGGAACUGAGACACGGUCCAGACUCCUACGGGAGGCAGCAGUGGGGAAUAUUGGACAAUGGGCGAAAGCCUGAUCCAGCCAUGCCGCGUGUGUGAAGAAGGUCUUCGGAUUGUAAAGCACUUUAAGUUGGGAGGAAGGGCAGUAAGUUAAUACCUUGCUGUUUUGACGUUACCAACAGAAUAAGCACCGGCUAACUUCGUG
Molecule: ribosomal RNA, 484 nt
Filed under: uncultured bacterium
Lineage: Bacteria
Description: partial 16S ribosomal RNA
Rfam family: Bacterial small subunit ribosomal RNA
Source: RNAcentral